ACUCUUCAACCCACCGGUUCCUUGUUGGACCGUGUUGGUGUUUGGAUUUUGAGCGCCUGCAGUCGAAAGACUGCUCGCUCGUAAUGCAUUAGCAUCUCAAUUUCGAACCUCGGAUUGACUCAGCGUAAUAGACUAUUCGCUGAGGACACUCUUUCAUUAGGGUGGCCGAAUUGUAGAUAACAGUAGAAGCUGCCAACCCUUCUAGUCAAAUCUUUAGA
This 218-nucleotide unclassified non-coding RNA is filed under the name uncultured Basidiomycota. RNAcentral's name for it is "sequence contains ITS2". Lineage: Eukaryota; Fungi; Basidiomycota. The record is from RNAcentral.